Molecule: transfer RNA, 76 nt
Filed under: Faecalitalea cylindroides
Lineage: Bacteria; Bacillati; Bacillota; Erysipelotrichia; Erysipelotrichales; Erysipelotrichaceae
Also listed under: 5 other names
Description: tRNA-Lys
Rfam family: tRNA
About the family: Transfer RNA (tRNA) molecules are approximately 80 nucleotides in length. Their secondary structure includes four short double-helical elements and three loops (D, anti-codon, and T loops).
Source: RNAcentral
GGACUCUUAGCUCAGUUGGCAGAGCAACUGACUCUUAAUCAGUGGGUCUAGGGUUCGAAUCCCUAAGAGUCCACCA